RNAcentral lists this non-coding RNA (24 nucleotides) under Rattus norvegicus (Norway rat). The record is from RNAcentral. Lineage: Eukaryota; Metazoa; Chordata; Mammalia; Rodentia; Muridae.
UGAGCAAGGUGAUGGUACAUGUGG